CAACCCUCGAGUCCCUUUGGACUCGGCGUUGGGGAUCGGCCGUCCUUCGCGGCGGCCGGCCCCGAAAUAUAGUGGCGGUCUCGCUGUAGCCUUCUCUGCGUAGUAGUAAAACCCUCGCAGGCGAAGAGCGGCUUGACCACGCCGUAAAACCCCCAACUUUACCAA
RNAcentral lists this unclassified non-coding RNA (165 nucleotides) under uncultured Hypocreales. RNAcentral describes it as "sequence contains ITS2". The record is from RNAcentral. Lineage: Eukaryota; Fungi; Ascomycota; Sordariomycetes; Hypocreales.